AAUCUCUAAAAAGGCUUAUAUUUAAAAAAUGAAGGCAGUACAACCCAGCUACAUGAAAAAGCAAUGCAACAAAACGACCGUGACACCAGAACUUGCGGGCAAGUUGAGAAAAACAACCAUUACUUCUACAGGUGUAAAUCAUCAGCCAUAUGUGCUUUCCAACCGGAAAAGAAAACGACCGAUUCAGGUCUGUAUCUUUUACAGGUGUAAAACUGUGAAAAACGACAAUCCAAUCAGGCCCUAAUUGGGCCAAAACUUACAGCAUGGACACGCAAGAGAAGAGCAAGACAAAGAAACAACCAAAAAUUGGGGCAAACUUACAGUAAGAACCCUGGGACAAACCUGGAAGGAACAAUGGCGGAUGCAACACAGCUAAGCACCCCUUUUUCUUUGUCUACGCUUCUCCAGCAUUGUUCAUAGGGAUUGGGACUUCAGGGGCCUUGCCUUUCCCUCUACAAAUCCACAAGAUUUUGCCAAAAACAUCAAAAGGGACUGCCAAAUGAGGUCAUAUAGGACUUCAGCUAGUACAGAUUACAAACAACUAUACUAGAUCUAGCAAGAAAUAAGAAUUCUUAGAAAAGUGUAAGCCCAGAAGAUGGGUGCUUUGAUCAAACAGAACUGUAAUUACAUAAAAUGGGUGCUUUGAUCUUGCUGGUGUAGACAUAGAGUACAACUAGUGCAGAUUACAAGCAAGCACAUAUCAGACUUAAACAAUAGCAAACAGUAAAUUUAAAUUUUCUGAUAAGGAAGUCUACAGCAAUCAAACAUGGAGAUGCUGACUUGCAAUGUUAAAAUAUAUACACCAGUACACCAUGGCUGCUUCAGAUGUUCAGUUAUAUUCGGAAAAGCAUGAUGUGUGUUCAAAUGAAAUGGUUACUGAAAAAGGUUCUCACCUUGUUCCAGUAGAACAUGUAGUGAUCCAUAAUUUUUAAAACAUAGAAAACGUUCAGUAAAUUCAUUGGAUCAGGUCUCGUGGUUCCACAGGAUGGUGAUGCAAAAGCACGAUUUUUUUUGCGAAUUUAGUAGCAAAC
Molecule: long non-coding RNA, 1031 nt
Filed under: Hordeum vulgare
Lineage: Eukaryota; Viridiplantae; Streptophyta; Magnoliopsida; Poales; Poaceae
Description: long non-coding RNA (HVUL_LNC008705)
Source: RNAcentral